AGAGUUUGAUCCUGGCUCAGAUUGAACGCUGGCGGCGUGGAUUAGGCAUGCAAGUCGAACGAGAAAGUGGUUUUUAAUCACGAGUAAAGUGGCGAACGGGUGAGUAACGCGUGGGAAACCUGCCCUUAAGAGGGGGAUAACAUUCCUAACGGGAUGCUAAUACCGCAUAAAAUUACAGAUCGCAUGUUCUGUAAUCAAAGAUGGCCUCUACAUGUAAGCUGUUACUUAAGGAUGGUCCCGCGUCCAAUUAGCUAGUUGGUGAGGUAAAUGCUCACCAAGGCGACGAUUGGUAGCCGGCCUGAGAGGGUGACCGGCCACACUGGGACUGAGACACGGCCCAGACUCCUACGGGAGGCAGCAGUCGAGAAGCUUCGGCAAUGGGGGCAACCCUGACCGAGCGACGCCGCGUGGGUGAUGAAGUCUUUCGAGAUGUAAAGCCCUGUCAUUCGGGAUGAAAAGUUGAUUGGUCAAAAGCCUUUUGACCUGACAGUACCGAAAGAGGAAGCUCCGGCUAACUCCGUGCCAGCAGCCGCGGUAAUACGGGGGGAGCAAGCGUUAUUCGAAAUUACUGGGCAUAAAGGGUUCGCAGGCGGUCUUGCAAGUCAGAGGUGAAAUCUAGCGGCUUAACCGCUAAACUGCCUUUGAAACUGCAUGACUUGAGGACAGGCGAGGAAAGCGGAAUUCUUGGUGUAGCGGUGAAAUGCGUGGAUAUCAAGAAGAACAUCAGUGGCGAAGGCGGCUUUCUAGCCUGUUUCUGACGCUCAGGAACGAAAGCUAGGGUAGCAAACGGGAUUAGAUACCCCGGUAGUCCUAGCCGUAAACGAUGGGCACUAGGUGUGGGAGGUAUCGACUCCUUCCGUGCCGUAGUUAAUGCAUUAAGUGCCCCGCCUGGGGAUUACGAUCGCAAGAUUGAAACUCAAAGGAAUUGACGGGGGCCCGCACAAGCGGUGGAGCAUGUGGUUUAAUUCGAUGAUACACGCAGAACCUCACCGGGGUUUGACAUGUAAGUGACUCACAUUGAAAGGCGUGUUCUCCUUCGGGAGCACUUACACAGGUGCUGCAUGGCUGUCGUCAGCUCGCGUCGUGAGAUGUUGGGUUAAGUCCCAUAACGAGCGCAACCCUUGUCCUUUGUUGCCAUCAGGUAAUGCUGGGAACUCUAAGGAGACUGUCGGUGAUAAACCGGAGGAAGGUGGGGAUGACGUCAAGUCCUCAUGGCCCUUACGCCCCGGGCUACACACGUGCUACAAUGGCAGGUACAGAGGGCCGCGAAGCUGCGAAGUCGAGCGAAUCCCAGAAAACCUGUCUCAGUACGGAUUGCAGUCUGCAACUCGACUGCAUGAAGGCGGAAUCGCUAGUAAUCGCGGAUCAGAACGCCGCGGUGAAUACGUUCCCGGGCCUUGUACACACCGCCCGUCAAGCGAUGGAAGUCGGAAGUGCCCGAAGUCGUUGUCUCAACCUAGUGAGGGAGCCGCCGAAGGUAAGACCGGUGACUGGCGCUAAGUCGUAACAA
This 1510-nucleotide ribosomal RNA is filed under the name uncultured bacterium. RNAcentral's name for it is "bacterial SSU rRNA". It matches the Rfam family "Bacterial small subunit ribosomal RNA". The record is from RNAcentral.